UCCAACCAUGAUGGCAUGCCUUGUUCCAUGCCUAGCCAUUUCAUGCCUUGGCUCAUGUCAAGCCUAACAUCAUCCCUGUAGCAAAUGAACUCAAAUGCAGUCACAUACAAGCAUUUUCACAUGUCAGCAGCAUAUAAAUACAACCAAGCCUAGUCAUGACAGCUCCAACAUACAAUGCAUUGCAAAAUUCAUCAUGCAUAUACAUAUACACAUGCUCAUGCAUAACCAUACCACUAUUAAUUCACUCACAUAGUUCCAACUAACUAAACUGAUUCAAUAACAGAAAAACCAAAAUGUUGUGUUUGUAACCUAUUAACCAAGAUGGUUAACCGGUUAUACCUAUGUUUCCAUGUUAUAUGUUUCCAUGUUAUAUGUUUCCAUGUUUCCAUGUUAGACAUAACAUUAUCAAUAUUUAACAUUUCAAAAUCACAUCAAGCAGCUAUAUGUUUCCAUGUUUCCAAAUUAGACAUAAUUCCAUAGCAUAUCAAUACCUCAAUUGAUCAACUCAGCCAACCAUCAUCCAUUCAAAGGCCAUAUUCACUAAUACACUAAUUAAUUCAAUAAAAAUAUACAUUCAUUCAAGUAAUACAAUCAUGUUUUAAGCAGUCCCAUAACAGAUCAAGUUACAUAGCAGUUCAAGCAUUUUAACAUCAAUAAGAUUUCCAUUCUUCUAACAUAACUAACUUACUAUAACUCUAACAUGGCUCAAAUUAAAAUCAAAUUAACUAACUAUUAACUAAUCAUUUCUAAUCUCACUAACAUCCCUAGCACACAACUAAUAGUUCCAUGACUAAUUCAAAUUAACUUUCAACACUGACAUCAUUCUAAUAGUUCAUUAACAUUCAACAAACUAAUUCAAUGACAAUCCCAAUGGUUCAAUAACACAAGCAGUUCAAUAACAAUUAACAAUUCCUAACAGCCUAACAAUUCUUAAGCUAACACUAAUAGCAAGUUAACUUUGUUAUUUCUCUAACUAAUUAUAUCUUUGAUUCAACUAACUUUAACCCCUACCCUAACCUCCAACGAACUCUACCCCAAUUUCCUGAAAUUGUUACAAUCCAAUUCAUCUAUAUAGUCUCAUUCCAUCUUCAAUCAGGAAAAUCUCACACACUCUGUAAAUUUUACUCUCAUCGCUAUUUCUUUCUGUAUUCAAUCUCCUUCACCUCACCACACUCAGAGCUUACAAAGUUCCUCUAUUGUCAAACAAGCUUCACCUUGAAGCUUGACACAACAAGAGAUGAACCUUACUCUACACCCUACUCUAAUCAACUACAACCAUACCACAAAUUCUCCCUACAAAUUAUAGACUCAAGAAGAAGAAGAAGAAGAAGAAAAGGAAACAUUCUGCAAGCACUGAGAAUUCAAAUUACUUAUCUGAUGAUUGUAUUCUCUGCUCUUCUUUUAUUCUUCAGCUUCAUCAUCUUCAUCUUGAACAAGAAUCAAGGCCAGCCUCCGUCUUAUAGGUAGGUCUUCAAAAACUCCACUUCUUUGCUCCAAUCAUGUUACCGCUAUGUAGAGUAGGAUGAGGGGAAUAAAAGCCCCAAGGUUGAAUGGCUUGGUUCCCCUCCGUUUGCGUUUAAUUCCAUUUUUAGGAUUUAGGGUUCUUCUUGAUUUUGGCCCAAAUUUGGAUUUUUGUUGAGGUUCAGAAGGAGAGAGUGUGAGAGAUGGAGAGAGAGGAUGUUGAGAGGUUUCAAGAGGUGGUGGUUUAUAGGCGUUCUAGGUUUCCCUACCGCCUCCGAUGCGGUAGAGCCAUUUUCAGUGGGGGAGGAAAUUUUAGAGAAAAUGAGAGAGGAUCAAUAAGGCUAGAGACAUGAAUUAGAUGAUUUGAACAUUCACUCUUCCUUUCCCCAUUCACAUUGGGCCUCAGGCACCCCAAGCCCAUAGGGCUUUGCUUCUUACACCUACACAUUGCUACUGCCCCUUCCCAUUUUGAAUGUUCAACAAGGCAUUAACACCUUGGGAAUGUUUUGUAUUAGCCUAGCAUGCAUUUUCUUGGCCACACGCCCUUUCCACGAAUGCACCCCCUUCUGGAUGCAGAGCAAGGCAGCAACACACCUUGGGCCUUCGUUAUCAAGUCCAGUGUCGUUUCUUCUUGGCCACACCCUUGUGGUCUACAACACCCCCUGCAUGAUUGUUUUAAUUAAUUAGUGAUAUACUUUGUGAUUUUUUUUUAUUUUAAUUCUUUUUAAUACACAUUUUAAAAACAUGUUAAUACACUAAUAAAACACUUAAAAAUACAUAUUAACAAAUAUUAUUUUGUUAGAUUAGGAUUAGUUUUAAUUAAGUUUAAUUCCUAAAUUUUUUAAAAUUCAUUUCAUGUUUAGUUAGAAAUUAGGGUUGACAUGAUAUUUUCCAAUUCUUAAUGCCAUUGUUUUAUUUAAAUCCAUGUGCUUACUAUAUCUUUUUAGCAUGAUCAUACCCUUGAUUAGUUGAUCAAGAUCAUUCUUGAUUAAUUAAUUACAUUGCAGUGAUUAGCCUAGGCUUUUCAUGACUUGUCCUGAGCAAUUAUAUGAUCCCUCUUAGGACUAUAUUUAAUUGAGCGAUCAUAAGUCUCUUAAUCACUUGAUUGAAUUGGGACCUUUACACUUGCACCUGCCUUCAAUUUACACUCAAGUCAAGACUCUGCAUUCAAGACUUUGAAGACAGAAGGACAUCAAGACCCUGAUCAUUGCUGAGCUUCAAGUUCACCUUGCCUCUUCAAAAUAAAAAGAUUAUUCUCUUUCAAAACAUGUUAGUUGUGAUGCGAAUUGUGCGUCACGAGCCUUAAGAAGUGGAGAAGGAAUAAGAGGGAGUAUUCCUACACUUAUUCUGAAUAUAUUUGGAUACGGGAAGCAUGACCCAGUUGUUCAAAGUAUUCACCUCUAUUCAUAUACUUUAGUACAAUUCAAAUCAAGACAACUUUCAUAAAUUAGGACAUGUUAUUUUCGUUAUACGCUGAUACAAACAAACACUUAAGUCUAUCAUGCACGAGUAUACAAGAAACGCUUAACUACUAGAAUGCGAAUGUUAACACUGAUCAAUAAAAAUAAUGAGCAAACACUUAUUUUCCACCCUACGAACUACGAGGCUCUGAUUUUCUCAUUGCAGUAUGAGAAUACGUAAGCACGGGAUUUCAAAAUCUUGGCGAGCAUACUAAUUAAAAACUUAUUUUUCCCUUAAAUUUAAACCAAUCGUAAGUAACCUUUAGAUAAUAACACUCAUCCAUGCAAAACGAAAAAAAACGGUUCCCGUUGAGUACAACGGAUGUGAAAGGUGUUAAUACAUUCCCUUUGCAUAAUCGAAUCCCGAACCCGAAUUUGGUUAUGACGGCCAUCUUCUUUUCUUUUAAGGGUUUUACCGAUAUUUUCCCUUUUCUUUGGAAUAAACAAAGUUCGGGGGUGACUCUGUAUUUUUCGGUGAGUGACACCGAGUAAGCAAGAGUUGGAUGAAGAUAAUGUUUUUGUUUUGGUUAGGUUGGUUUGCAUGGUUGUUUGAUGUUAUGGUGUGGGGGUUUAUUUCUUCAAGAAGGUGAUGGUGAGUUUAUGAUUUUGAAGCUCAUACUAUAUAUGGAGGUAUGGUGAAGAAGAUGCAAGAGGUUGUUAUGUGGGUUGAAGGGAGAUGGAGCGGAUGGAAGGAAAGGGUCUGAAUCGAAGAAGGAAUAAGGGAAAUAUGAAAGUGUUAUGGUGUGAGGUGAUUAAGAUGAAGGAGAUGCAGGGAGGCAGUUAUGAAGAGUGUUUUAUGUGAGUGAAUGGAGAGUGGAAAAAUGAUGUAUGUGGUUUUAAAGAGAAAAUGGAAAACAUGGCUGGAAGUGUUGGGAAAAAGAAGUGAAGUGUGUCAAGGGUGAAUCAAAUGAGAGUAUGAGAGAGGCUUUGAAAAAAAAACUAAAAAAAAUGCAUGAUAAUUUUUUCUUUGUGUUUUCUUCUUUCUUAAUGAAAGAGGUUCAAAAGAUCUCCCCCUCCCCAUUCGAUGCGUCACCCUUUUUAGUGGAAAACUGAGUGAUGUUUUUUUUUAAGAGUGCCUUGGGGACGCGUGGCUCAACAUUAUUGGCGGGAGAGAGAUAUUUUGUUUUUUAAAAGAGGGGGACAUGUUGCUGAUGCAAUGGUUGAAGGUUUUAUUUUUGCAAAAUCAAUUGAAAAACAUAGAUAAAUGGAGGUGAGAGAUAGAUGAAAUUGGUGAGUGGUUGGUUUACGUGUGUGAGGAAAUAUUUGAUUUUCAUUUCACCCUUUCCAUUAUGGGCGCGUGUCCCAUGCUCAGUGAAGGGAGUAUUGAUUUCUUUUGAUGAUAAGAACAAAUUCCAGGUUGUAUUAGUUAUGAGUAGGAGAAUUUUCUAUGGAGAUAAAUGGAUAUUAACGUGUAUUGGAGUCCACAUGGAAUUUAUCUUAGUGAAGAGAACACUAUCAACCUCUUUUGUUAUUUUUUCAAUUUCUUUUUCUUAUGAUUUUUAUAUUUUGAAAAAGGUUUAAUAAUUAGAUAAAAUAAAAAUAAAUUCAAUCUAACUACCCAAUUAAUUCUAAUUAAUUCAAUUGAUUAUUUUGAUUACAAAAAUAAAAAUAAAAGGAUAAAAAAUGAAUAAAAAUCGGACACAGAAAUUUCCGGAAAAUUAAACUGAACGCACCAAAAUGAUCAAUGCAAAAUAAACCUCUCAGAAACAUACAAGUUUUGAUCAAUUUUUGAAAUAAAAAAUAAAUUAUUAAAAAGGCCCAGGAUGACCAAAACUACCUGAACCAUAGAUUAACAAUAUUGAUGUCUGCAAGCUCGAUUUCAAAAAAUUUCGCCCCUUAAUUUUUCGUACAUUUGAGGAAUGAUUCAAUCAAUCUGUUUGUGGAUCCGAGAAUUUAUUUAGGUCAAUAUUUUAGGCAUUAUGCAAGAUGAAAGACAUGUAAUGAUAUGCAGAUGAUGCAAAGUAAAGUAAAGUCGGAUAUAUGAAAGUUUCAAAAUGCAUCGAACAAAAUUGUGGUAUGAUAGCUUCCCCUAUUUAAUUACCUUGAACCAGAAGAUAUGAAUGACAACAGUCUUCAUAGAUUCAUGGUCGAAGAUAAUUAAAUAUGAAAAGACCCAAAUUUUGUACUUCGAGAUGCGGAGAUGAUGAAAUGUAGAGAUGGAAUACAGAGAGAAAAUGCAAUGAAAUUCAGGAAGAACAAGUUUAUUUGCAAAGCUCUGCAAGGGAAAUCUCAUAAGAUACUUUUUAGGGUAACCUCUGCUUGGGGAGAAAAAAAUAGUGGAGAUGCUGAGGAAUAUUAUUAUCAACAUAAAGUUUGAAGAAUGACUCGUUGGGGAAUAAAAUUCCAUGAGCACAUGUAGGGUAAGUACUAUUUCGGAGAAAUACCGCCAAAUUGAAUGAGGACCGACCUGGAUACUAAUGGUUAUCCCUGGAUCAUGAAUUGUGUCAUGUAUGUUAUGAUGUUUUGUAUGACAUUCCACUUUGGGUGGAAUUACCAUGCACAGAAUGAUGCAUGGAGAUGCAUGUACGUAUGCAACUGUUGGGGAUUUUUUUAGGUGCAUGUAGAAAUGCGAAUAAUUUUUUUUAUUUUGAUGAAGCUCUCCAUUUCAGCGGGAAUACUAUGCAUAUGUAUGCUGAUGAUUGAUAGGAUCAUGUUUUUUAAAACUUUGCAUUUCGUCGAGAAGGUUAUGCAUGAAGUGAUCCAUGUGAUGCAUGUAGGAAUGCAACUGGGUAAUUGGAUUUUUUUGUAGGGCUUUAUUUUUUGUCUUCAAUGAAAGAUUGUUGGGGAGUAUCAUCAUCAAAGGGUUGAUGGAAGAUAAUGAAUGUCGUCAUCAAGUGGUUGACGGAAAAGAAUUUGUCAUUAUCAAAGGGUUGACGGAAAAGACUUCACUAAGGAGUGACAUCAUCAAAGGGUUGAUGGAAAGGACUUCACUAUGGAGUGAAAUCCUUAAAGGAUUGAUGGAAAGAACUUCUCCAAGGAGUGACAUCAUCAAUGGGUUGAUGGAAAGAACUGUUUAGGUAACAUCGUCGUCAAAUAGUUAAUAGAAAGGAUUAUAAAAGAUUGUCAUCAUCAAAGGGUUGAUGGAAAAGAAUAAUUAUGUGAUGUCGUCAUCAAAAGGUUGAUGGCAUCAUUAAAGGGUUGAUGGGAAAGGGAAAUUUUGGAAUAUCGUCAUUAAAGGGUUGAUGGCAUCAUUAAAGGGUUGAUAGGAAAGGAUUGUGUUAUGUAUGCAUGUGGUCCAUGUUAAUGAAAACUUAUCAUUUUGGAGAGAGAGAUUUUUGAUAUGAAACUUCCUGUUUUGGAAGGAAAUUUAUGCAUGAAGUGAUGCAUGUUUGGAUGGAAACUCAUCAUUUCGACGAGAGAGCUUUUUUAUGAAACUUCAUAUUUUGGCAAGAAAGUUAUGCAUGUAUGUUGUAUGCAAUGCAUGAGGGAAUGCAAGCAUGUGAUUAGUUUUGGAUUGGUCUCCUUUUUUCAAAGGUGAGAUCUUUUAUGGGUACUAAUGUUGAUUGGAUUUGAGUUUAUGAAGAUGCCAGCAGAGUAGACUUUGGUUUUUUUAGUAGUUGCCAAUAUGGAUUAGACUUUUGGUUUUUUGGUAGUUGCCAAUAUGGAUUGGACUUUUGGUUUUUUGGUAGUUGCCAAUAUGGAUUGGACUUUUGGUUUUUUGGUAGUCACCAAUAUGGAUUGGAUUUUUGGUUAGUGAAAGGAUUUGACUUCCCAACACUCGGUUUUUUGACAAUGCUAUAAUCGUAGGCUAAAUGUGGAUGCCCUUGGUGCCCUAAGUUUGACCCCUUGUUGAUAAGCUGCGUGAUUGUUCCUGGGAGGACCUCAACUUCUUUGCUUGAUAUGCCAUGAUGAUCUGCAAAAAAUUUCAUGAGUGUAGUGACAUAAUCAAUGCAUGACAAUUGUAUUUUUGCUCCGCCUUAAGGUUUUCUACUAGGAGGAGAUAGGACGAUGUUAUACUAGCGUGAUCACUGGACACUUUCUGUGAACUCAAUGGUUACUAGUGUCUGGCAUGGUCUGCUUGACCAACUUGCCAGUAUGGAGGGAACUAGCCCUUUCUAACUUGUUUGCCCCAGUUUGUGGGGUCUUUGAAAGAUUUCGCUUUGAAAGGAAGCCUUGGGAGCAAUCAUACCAUGACAUGGCCUGAGAUGAUUUGCCCAAGUGUCUGAAACUUGCAGUGGUCUGCCCCUGAUUAACUGGUUCUUGAAACGGUUUACUUUGAAUCAACUAAUCUUUGGACGUUGGGCUUCAAUGUACCCUUGAGGUGAUUUUCCUACAUCUGAGCCUUUGAGGGACUUGCCCCAGAUUGACUGAGUAUCGAAAUGAUUUUCCUUCCUGAUCACUUGAUGCUCAGAGAUUUGUUUCAGACUGACCAGUUCUUAGGUCAAAAUAAGCAUUGGAUGCCACGCCCGUGAUUCAUAGGGUUAUGAGGUGGUCUUGAUUCGAGCUAGCACUGACGAAUGAUCAAGUUCCUGUUUGAUUGCUUCUUUGAAGUUCCUUGAUGUCAAGUACUGACUUGCAAUUAAAAUUGUUCAUUCAAAACUGGUAAUUUUAAUGUGAUAUUCAUGCAAGUUUAAAAAAAAUCAUUUAUUGGAAUGAUGUGGUAGUGUGUGACGAGUGAACCAUUAGUUCAAACUUAGUGUUGAUUUAGCCAACGUGUGAAAGAUACAUCGAAAUAUGAUACAAGUACAUGUGAUUAGAAAAUAUCUAGGAAUCAGUUUA
Molecule: long non-coding RNA, 7640 nt
Filed under: Lathyrus oleraceus (garden pea)
Lineage: Eukaryota; Viridiplantae; Streptophyta; Magnoliopsida; Fabales; Fabaceae
Description: Pisum sativum (pea) long non-coding RNA (PSAT_LNC030704)
Source: RNAcentral